UGACAGGGUCACUAAGAAUGCAGAUCUGUU
RNAcentral lists this non-coding RNA (30 nucleotides) under Rattus norvegicus (Norway rat). Lineage: Eukaryota; Metazoa; Chordata; Mammalia; Rodentia; Muridae. The record is from RNAcentral.